This 199-nucleotide long non-coding RNA is filed under the name Elaeis guineensis (African oil palm). Its description in RNAcentral is "long non-coding RNA (EGUI_LNC034636)". Lineage: Eukaryota; Viridiplantae; Streptophyta; Magnoliopsida; Arecales; Arecaceae. The record is from RNAcentral.
GGCCAGGAGGUUGUGUCAGGCAACCAUUCUCCCGACCGAUCGGGAGCUUUUGAGGAGUCGGCCGGUGAUCGAGAUGCUCUCUUCCUUUUACCCGACCAUGAUUCAGGUGAGCUCUCCUUCUUCUUCUUUCUUUAUUAUUAUUUUUGUCAUUUCAUUUUUUUGACGACCAGCCUUCUACUUGCAGCUGAACUACAAUAUG